RNAcentral lists this transfer RNA (72 nucleotides) under Planctomycetota bacterium. RNAcentral describes it as "tRNA-Sec". The record is from RNAcentral. Lineage: Bacteria; Pseudomonadati; Planctomycetota.
UGAAUCGUUUCCGCGGUCUUCAAAGCCGUUGAGGUCGUUCGCGCGGCGCCUGGUGGGUUCAAUUCCCAUCCA